UAGUCCACGCCGUAAACGAUGAUUACUCGCUGUAGGCGAUACACAGUCUGUGGCUUAGCGAAAGUUUUAAGUAAUCCACCUGGGGAGUACGAUCGCAAGAUUGAAACUCAAAGGAAUUGACGGGGGCCCGCACAAGCGGAGGAACAUGUGGUUUAAUUCGAUGAUACGCGAGGAACCUUACCUGGACUUAAAUGUACGUUGCAUAGAUUGGAGACAGUCUUUUCUUCGGACUACGUACAAGGUGCUGCAUGGUUGUCGUCAGCUCGUGCCGUGAGGUGUCGGGUUAAGUCCCAUAACGAGCGCAACCCCUAUCGUAUGUUACCAGCAUUUAGUUGGGGACUCAUGCGAGACUGCCGGUGUUAAGCCGGAGGAAGGUGGGGACGACGUCAAGUCAUCAUGGCCCUUACGUGUAGGGCUAGAAACGUGCUACAAUGGGAGUUACAGUGGCCAGUAACGUCGCGAGGCGAAGCAAAUCCCUAAAAGCUCUCUCAGUUCGGAUAGGACUCUGCAACUCG
This 515-nucleotide ribosomal RNA is filed under the name uncultured bacterium. RNAcentral's name for it is "bacterial SSU rRNA". It matches the Rfam family "Bacterial small subunit ribosomal RNA", at positions 791 to 1314 of the family's 1533-position model. The record is from RNAcentral.